RNAcentral lists this ribosomal RNA (450 nucleotides) under uncultured Acaulospora. RNAcentral describes it as "SSU rRNA". It matches the Rfam family "Eukaryotic small subunit ribosomal RNA", at positions 569 to 1022 of the family's 1831-position model. The record is from RNAcentral. Lineage: Eukaryota; Fungi; Glomeromycota; Glomeromycetes; Diversisporales; Acaulosporaceae.
AGCAGCCGCGGUAAUUCCAGCUCCAAUAGCGUAUAUUAAAGUUGUUGCAGUUAAAAAGCUCGUAGUUGAAUUUCGGGGUUUAUCCGUCGGUCGGGCUUUCGGGUUUGUACUGGCGUGAUGGAUUCCUACCUUCUGAAUAACCGGCAUGUCAUUAAUUUGGUGCGCCGGGGAAGCAGGACUGUUACCUUGAAAAAUUAGAGUGCUUAAAGCAGGCUUAUGCCUGAAUACAUUAGCAUGGAAUAAUGAAAUAGGACGGCAUGGUUCUAUUUUGUUGGUUUCUAGGAUCACCGUAAUGAUUAAUAGGGAUAGUUGGGGGCAUUAGUAUUCAAUUGUCAGAGGUGAAAUUCUUGGAUUUAUUGAAGACUAACUUCUGCGAAAGCAUUUGCCAAGGAUGUUUUCAUUAAUCAAGAACGAAAGUUAGGGGAUCGAAGACGAUCAGAUACCGUCGUA